GCAGAGUGGUUUCAAUUAGUGCCUUAAAUUGGGAAAGAGCUGGGAAGAAAUCGGGAGCUUUGCUUGGAGCUGGAAUUUGUUCUGUGUGAUCCUUUUGUGGGACUCUUUUCCUCCUUUAAUGGUUCUUUUGUGGGAUUCUUUUCCCCCAUUAAUGAGUAACGAUGAUGUGUCAGUGUUGAGUUUAACCAGGAAAAUCAAGGAACCAGGAAAUUCCAGGUGAAAAAGCAACUGAAGUGGAAGAGAAGCUCUGACUCAUUUGAACUGAUCAGGACAGGGCAGGAGACAACAUCUCCCACAUUGUGGUUAUUUACCAGCUCUCACUCCAGGAUUUCUUAAGAAUUACAAAGAUUUAGCAAGGCCUUGGAAUGAAAAACAGGAUUGAGGCUCAUCCAGGCUUUUGUAUCCCAAAUAUUCCCCAAACUCCUGAUCAAAACAACUUUUCGAUGUUUUCUCGCUGCAUUAACAGGCUGGAAUUGCUACUAGAAGUAUCAGCCAAUUAGCAACUCUUUAAUCUCCUGCAUUGUUUGUCACCACGGUGUGACAAAGUGACAGCCUGCCACGCUAAUUAGCUGCCUUCUGCGAGGGGAAAAUUGCUCUUGUUUGACAAAUAAUUCAAGUUAAAGAAGGACGAGGAAGUCUGAAAACAAAGUUAUUCAUGCAAAGACACAUCAGAGAGCACCCAGGGGCUCAGGCUUUUGGAGAAAUCACUGGUGAAAUGAGGCUGUUGCUACCAAAGGUAAAAAAAAGCAGAUUUUUUUUCUGUGUUUUUUGAGCAUUCAGGAAGGGUAAUGAGUGUACUCCAGGCUUAAUUAGUGUUCUGAAUUCACCCCAACACAAAGAACUUCCCCAGCUCCAGAGAAAACAAAUGUUUAUUCCUUCAGCUGGAUCUGAGCUGGAGUUCUGCUCUUUAUUUCCCAUUUGUGGGUGGAGAAGAGGUCCCUGUUGGAGGCUCAGGGAGGGCUCUCCAGGUGGAGUUUGGCUCAGGACACUUCUCUGGCACUGGAAUUCUCCAGGAGAGCUGUCAACUCCAUUUCCCCCCGGUGCAGUGAGCAGGAUGAAAUCUCUGGGAUGUAAUGCUGGAUUUUGUUUACCUUUGU
Non-coding RNA from Cyanistes caeruleus (blue tit), 1097 nucleotides. The record is from RefSeq and is a predicted model, not a curated record. Lineage: Eukaryota; Metazoa; Chordata; Aves; Passeriformes; Paridae.